This 846-nucleotide long non-coding RNA is filed under the name Medicago truncatula (barrel medic). RNAcentral's name for it is "lncRNA gene27598". Lineage: Eukaryota; Viridiplantae; Streptophyta; Magnoliopsida; Fabales; Fabaceae. The record is from RNAcentral.
UGGGGAAAUAUGAUUUCUCGUUCGCUAUAAUACACAAGACAGAAUAGAAAUAUACCCUUCUACGUGAAGUCAAUAUUAUGUUUUCCUCUCACCCAAGCAACAAACAAUUGAAUGCCCAUAAUACCCCGGCCAUGCACAUCACUAUCUAUAUGAUGCAUCUAACAAAAUUACAAGGGCAAUAAGGUCAAGAUAAUAAGAAUUUUCACCCCAUCCCAUAGGUGCACACCUCAAUUGAACCAGGAUUCUUCGCAAUAUGUCGCAUACAAACAUUCAAAACAUUUAAUAAUCCUUGGAUCAAAAUCAAAUUCAAACUCAACAUUUUUGUAUUAAAAUUAAAAAUAAAACAAAAUCUACAUUAAAAUUUAAACCUUAGUAAAGAUGUUCCGACUUUGUGAAUGCGGUAAAUUGCCAAGACAUCCAAUUUCUAAAUUAAGAUGAUGUUUGAGGCAAAGAAAAUGUCGUCGUUACGGCGACACUGUUAUGAUCCUUGCAACUCAGUGCUUUAAGUAUUUUCCACGACACCUUACCGGAGCUCCGAUUCAAGUUCAAAUUUCCACUUGUUUCCGAAGCCGGAAACAUACUUUUCGAUGGAUUCCGGCGAACCUGACGGUUUUUAAUAUCAUUGAGUUCCAUUUCCGGCGGAUUCUUCAUCUUCCCAAACAUAAGAGAAUACCAGCGUGGUUUCAUUGCCUUCUUCGCCACACCUUCCAUCGAUGCAGCGCUCCUUAUAGAAGAAUUCCGAUCAACUUCCGGCACCUUUGAGAUAGGAAAACUUGAAGAAUACUCUCUCAAUUUACAGUAAUUAAGUGACCUGCUAUUCCUCAUCAUGAGAUGAUUAGAACCACC